RNAcentral lists this transfer RNA (77 nucleotides) under Moraxella sp. Its description in RNAcentral is "tRNA-Pro". It matches the Rfam family "tRNA". From Rfam's summary of the family: Transfer RNA (tRNA) molecules are approximately 80 nucleotides in length. Their secondary structure includes four short double-helical elements and three loops (D, anti-codon, and T loops). Further hydrogen bonds mediate the characteristic L-shaped molecular structure. tRNAs have two regions of fundamental functional importance: the anti-codon, which is responsible for specific mRNA codon recognition, and the 3' end, to which the tRNAs corresponding amino acid is attached (by aminoacyl-tRNA synthetases). tRNAs cope with the degeneracy of the genetic code in two manners: having more than one tRNA (with a specific anti-codon) for a particular amino acid; and 'wobble' base-pairing, i.e. permitting non-standard base-pairing at the 3rd anti-codon position. Lineage: Bacteria; Pseudomonadati; Pseudomonadota; Gammaproteobacteria; Moraxellales; Moraxellaceae. The record is from RNAcentral.
CGGAGUGUAGCGCAGCUUGGUAGCGCAUCUGCUUUGGGAGCAGAGGGUCGGGGGUUCAAAUCCCUCCACUCCGACCA